UGGGGAAUAUUGCACAAUGGGCGCAAGCCUGAUGCAGCCAUGCCGCGUGUGUGAAGAAGGCCUUCGGGUUGUAAAGUACUUUCAGCGGGGAGGAAGGGAGUAAAGUUAAUACCUUUGCUCAUUGACGUUACCCGCAGAAGAAGCACCGGCUAACUCCGUGCCAGCAGCCGCGGUAAUACGGAGGGUGCAAGCGUUAAUCGGAAUUACUGGGCGUAAAGCGCACGCAGGCGGUUUGUUAAGUCAGAUGUGAAAUCCCCGGGCUCAACCUGGGAACUGCAUCUGAUACUGGCAAGCUUGAGUCUCGUAGAGGGGGGUAGAAUUCCAGGUGUAGCGGUGAAAUGCGUAGAGAUGUGGAGGAAUACCGGUGGCGAAGGCGGCCCCCUGGACAAAGACUGACGCUCAGGUGCGAAAGCGUGGGGAGCAAACAGG
This 429-nucleotide ribosomal RNA is filed under the name Chloroflexota bacterium. RNAcentral's name for it is "Chloroflexi bacterium partial 16S ribosomal RNA". It matches the Rfam family "Bacterial small subunit ribosomal RNA", at positions 355 to 776 of the family's 1533-position model. The record is from RNAcentral. Lineage: Bacteria; Bacillati; Chloroflexota.